RNAcentral lists this ribosomal RNA (925 nucleotides) under Bacteroidales bacterium. RNAcentral describes it as "bacterial SSU rRNA". It matches the Rfam family "Bacterial small subunit ribosomal RNA", at positions 1 to 886 of the family's 1533-position model. Lineage: Bacteria; Pseudomonadati; Bacteroidota; Bacteroidia; Bacteroidales. The record is from RNAcentral.
GGAGCUCUCCCAUAUGGUCGACCUGCAGGCGGCCGCGAAUUCACUAGUGAUUGUUUGAUCCUGGCUCAGGAUGAACGCUAGCGACAGGCCUAACACAUGCAAGUCGAGGGGUAUAAGUAGCUUGCUACUUAGAGACCGGCGCACGGGUGAGUAACGCGUAUGCAACCUACCUUUUACUGGGGGAUAGCCCAAAGAAAUUUGGAUUAAUACCGCAUAAUAUAUUUGAAUCGCAUGGUUUAAAUAUUAAAACUUCGGUGGUAAAAGAUGGGCAUGCGUAGCAUUAGUUUGUUGGUGAGGUAACGGCUCACCAAGACUAUGAUGCUUAGGGGGUCUGAGAGGAUAGUCCCCCACACUGGUACUGAGACACGGACCAGACUCCUACGGGAGGCAGCAGUGAGGAAUAUUGGUCAAUGGGCGCAAGCCUGAACCAGCCAUGUCGCGUGCAGGAUGACGGCCCUAUGGGUUGUAAACUGCUUUUUUACAGGAAUAAACUUUGUUACGUGUAGCAAACUGAAGGUACUGUAAGAAUAAGGAUCGGCUAACUCCGUGCCAGCAGCCGCGGUAAUACGGAGGAUCCAAGCGUUAUCCGGAUUUAUUGGGUUUAAAGGGUCCGUAGGCGGGCUUUUAAGUCAGUGGUGAAAUCCCAGAGCUCAACUCUGGAACUGCCAUUGAUACUGAAGGUCUUGAAUUUAGUUGAGGUGGGCGGAAUACGUUAUGUAGCGGUGAAAUGCAUAGAUAUAACGUAGAACACCGAUUGCGAAGGCAGCUCACUAAGCUAACAUUGACGCUGAUGGACGAAAGCGUGGGGAGCGAACAGGAUUAGAUACCCUGGUAGUCCACGCCGUAAACGAUGAUUACUCGUUGUGCACGAUACACUGUGCGUGACUGAGCGAAAGCAUUAAGUAAUCCACCUGGGGAGUACGUU